RNAcentral lists this transfer RNA (70 nucleotides) under Phrynocephalus vlangalii pylzowi. RNAcentral describes it as "tRNA-Phe". Lineage: Eukaryota; Metazoa; Chordata; Lepidosauria; Squamata; Agamidae. The record is from RNAcentral.
GUAUUAUGUAGCUUAAUAACAAAGCAUAGUGCUGAAGCCACGAUGCAUUGUAUAUAUAUAUACAAAACAU